UAUCUCUGUAGAGUCUGCAUAUCAAUAAGCGGAGGAAAAGAAACUAACAAGGAUUCCCUUAGUAACGGCGAGUGAAGCGGGAAGAGCUCAAAUUUGAAAUCUUCAAGGUUCUACCUUGACGAAUUGUAGUUUAAAGAAGUGUUUUCUGUUAGAUGAGUAGCAAAAGUUCCUUGGAAUGGGACAUCAUAGAGGGUGAGAAUCCCGUAUUUGGUUAUUCAUUCUAGCUUUGUGAUACACUUUCAAAGAGUCGGAUUGUUUGGGAAUGCAGUCCAAAAUGGGUGGUAAAUUUCAUCUAAAGCUAAAUAUUGGCGAGAGACCGAUAGCGAACAAGUACCGUGAGGGAAAGAUGAAAAGAACUUUGAAAAGAGAGUUAAACAGUACGUGAAAUUGUCAAAAGGGAAGCGUUUGACACCAGUGUUGUUUUUCCGAAAAUCAAUUACGAAUGGCUUGAUUCUGUGUUGUAUUGACCUUAUCAGCUUUCUUCACUUUUUUCGAGUCUUUCUUAAUGCACUUUUCGGUUAACAAGUCAACAUCAAUUUCUUUUGUUGUAAAAGAGUAUUCGGAAGGUGGCUUUCUUUUCGGAGAAAGUGUUUAUAGCCCUAUACUUCUACAAUCGGAGAGAUUGAGGUCUGCAGCGUAGAUCCUUCGGGGUUAGAUACACUUGUGCUAAGUUGUAGCUUUUCAUAGACAACUUGUUGACUAUGUUUAGUCAUGCGGCUUACUCGCUUGUGCUAUUUUACCUACGCUUAGGAUGUUGAGGAUGUAGCACAUCAU
RNAcentral lists this ribosomal RNA (774 nucleotides) under uncultured Neocallimastigales. RNAcentral's name for it is "partial large subunit ribosomal RNA". It matches the Rfam family "Eukaryotic large subunit ribosomal RNA", at positions 24 to 643 of the family's 3401-position model. Lineage: Eukaryota; Fungi; Neocallimastigomycota; Neocallimastigomycetes; Neocallimastigales. The record is from RNAcentral.